GACGAACGCUGGCGGCGUGCUUAACACAUGCAAGUCGAACGGAAAGGCCCUGCUUUUGUGGGGUGCUCGAGUGGCGAACGGGUGAGUAACACGUGAGUAACCUGCCCUUGACUUUGGGAUAACUUCAGGAAACUGGGGCUAAUACCGGAUAGGAGCUCCUGCUGCAUGGUGGGGGUUGGAAAGUUUCGGCGGUUGGGGAUGGACUCGCGGCUUAUCAGCUUGUUGGUGGGGUAGUGGCUUACCAAGGCUUUGACGGGUAGCCGGCCUGAGAGGGUGACCGGCCAACAUGGGACUGAGAUACGGGCCAGACUCCUACGGGAGGCAGAAGUGGGGAAUAUUGCACCAUUGGCGGAAGCCUGAUUCAGCAACGCCGCGUGCGGGAUGACGGCCUUCGGGUUGUAAACCGCUUUCGCCUGUGACGAAGCGUGAGUGACGGUAAUGGGUAAAGAAGCACCGGCUAACUACGUG
RNAcentral lists this ribosomal RNA (468 nucleotides) under uncultured bacterium. RNAcentral's name for it is "partial 16S ribosomal RNA". It matches the Rfam family "Bacterial small subunit ribosomal RNA", at positions 28 to 507 of the family's 1533-position model. The record is from RNAcentral.